AGCGAACGCUGGCGGCAGGCCUAACACAUGCAAGUCGAACGAACCUUUCGGGGUUAGUGGCGGACGGGUGAGUAACACGUGGGAACGUGCCUUUAGGUUCGGAAUAACUCAGGGAAACUUGUGCUAAUACCGAAUGUGCCCUUCGGGGGAAAGAUUAAUCGCCUUUAGAGCGGCCCGCGUCUGCUUAGCUAGUUGGUUGAGGUAAUGGCUCACCAAGGCGACGAUCAGUAGCUGGUAUGAGAGGAUGAUCAGCCACAUUGGGACUGAGACACGGCCCAAACUCCUACGGGAGGCAGCAGUGGGGAAUCUUGCGCAAUGGGCGAAAGCCUGACGCAGCCAUGCCGCGUGAAUGAUGAAGGUCUUAGGAUUGUAAAAUUCUUUCACCGGGGACGAUAAUGACGGUACCCGGAGAAGAAGCCCCGGCUAACUUCGUG
This 434-nucleotide ribosomal RNA is filed under the name uncultured bacterium. Its description in RNAcentral is "partial 16S ribosomal RNA". It matches the Rfam family "Bacterial small subunit ribosomal RNA", at positions 29 to 507 of the family's 1533-position model. The record is from RNAcentral.